CCGCAAAUUGAACGUGUCACCCAAAUUUUAGGCCGUCGCACCAAAAAUAAUCCUUGUCUUAUAGGAGAACCUGGUGUCGGUAAGACAGCAAUUGCUGAAGGUCUUGCUCAGAGGAUUGCAAAUGGUGAUGUACCUGAAACAAUCGAGGGAAAAAAGGUUAAUAGAAAGAAAUCAUCUAACCUUUACCGUCAUUAAAUUGGCAUUCUAUUUAAAUGAUUUGUUAUUCUAUAUUGGAGUACCAUUACUUUUUGGAUGUGUUCAAGUAAUUAUGAAAAUAUCCUUUGUUUUUUUCUCUAUGCACGUAAUUUUACAAGUUAAAAAAGCAUUUUAUGGCACAUUGGAUAAUCAUGCCAGUAUUCAGGAAGUGCUGUUUCGUUUCAGUUAUAUGGUUUCAUUAUGAAUUUCAUAGUGUAGGCUAGGUAUUAUUAUUUUUUUAAUUGCUGGAUUUGUGGGAGUGUAAUGUGAUUUUGAUGAGUUCGGAAUAAUGUCAAUACUUUCUUUGCUCAAUUGUAUUUGACAUACUACAGUCUGUUUUGGGUAUGUUUAUCUUUACUCUUUAGACCAUUUUUUUUUGUUGACAAUUUUACUCUUUAGACUAUUAAUCAUUGACAAGUAGGUAUUGAGGUUUCUUUCAAUCAUUUUAAUUAUGUUUUCGAAGUUAUGGCUAUAGAAAAUCAAUGAUUAACUUCAUUGUUGUUUCAAGGAGUCAUAUAUGUUAAUUGAGUUCUUAACUACUGAUAACUUUUCCAUUAUAUUUGUUGUUGACACAUCCCUUUAUGAAGACCCCUUUAGGCUUGAAGUGCAUUAAUGUGCUGAUUUAUUUUUACUAUAAUCUGAAAUUCAAAUAUUAUUUAGAAAAAUGAUGUUGUCAAGGGUCAAUGUCCUCACAAGUUGGCAAAGGAGGCUUUGAUCCCAUGUUAUAUUAAACUAUUCCAACAUCCUAAACUGUUAUUUGAAGGCAUGUGAUAGUGAAUGAUUUUAUAUAUCCAACAUUUUCUUAUAAUAUGCUUUGUUCACAUGAACUAGGUUAUAACCCUCGACAUGGGUCUGCUUGUAGCUGGAACCAAAUACCGUGGUGAGUUUGAGGAGAGGUUGAAGAAACUGAUGGAAGAAAUCAGACAAAGUGAUGAGAUAAUACUUUUUAUCGACGAAGUGCACACUCUAAUUGGAGCAGGAGCAGCUGAAGGUGC
Molecule: long non-coding RNA, 1190 nt
Filed under: Trifolium pratense (red clover)
Lineage: Eukaryota; Viridiplantae; Streptophyta; Magnoliopsida; Fabales; Fabaceae
Description: long non-coding RNA (TPRA_LNC001503)
Source: RNAcentral